AUCCAGCUGACGAGUUUCAAAUAGGACGAAAUGCGGUUUGUCCUAGAU
Non-coding RNA from Schistosoma haematobium, 48 nucleotides. The record is from Rfam. Lineage: Eukaryota; Metazoa; Platyhelminthes; Trematoda; Strigeidida; Schistosomatidae.